This is a long non-coding RNA of Aphis gossypii (cotton aphid), 2063 nucleotides long. RefSeq lists it as uncharacterized. Lineage: Eukaryota; Metazoa; Arthropoda; Insecta; Hemiptera; Aphididae. The record is from RefSeq and is a predicted model, not a curated record. The transcript has 2 exons.
AAACAAUUUUUUUUAUUGAUAAUCUUUUUCAAACAGCAAUUUAACAGGAAGAGUUAUCAAAAAAACUGCAUUUCCCUACUAUUAAUUUGUAUAUUAUAUUAUAUGUGUUUAAAGGAGAUUAAUCGGUAUGGCGCAUGUGCGCAUUUUUAUCAGUAAUAUGGGGAACUGCGUAGUAAUAAAGUACAUAAAGUGCACAUCAAUGUUUGAUAAAAUCAUUAUUGCACAACAACAUUAUGUCAAUAAUUAUAAAAGAAACCAUUGAUUAUUUUUCAUUGAAUUAUUCUUAAACCGUAUUUUUUGUUUUUUAUGUGUAUAUCAUAUACAUAAAUGCAUUUAAUGUUUACUUUUAGUAGAGCAACAAAAAUUGAUACCCAUUUUUGAAGAAAUAAAAACCCUAUCAAAAUGAAUUAUGUUCUGUGUCUCAAUUGGUACGUUUUAACAUUAAAACAUUGGUAUUAUUUACAAACAUUUGGAAUAAACCAUAAUAUGAGCCUAAUUAAAUGGAAUUAGCCACUUGGGUGUUAUGAAUAUACUAGAAAUAGCCGAUAGGUACCUAGUGUACUUAUACUACCUUGACUAUGUAGGUACAUUGGCUGCAUUAUAAUACCAAUCAUUGCUUCAUUUAUGUGUCGAAUGAUAGUAUGGAAAAGAGUAAUAAUUUUCGGUUAAUAUAAAUUUUUGUUCAUUCGUUUUCUGUUUAUUAUCACUUGAUAGAUACCGGGGUCUGGUGCAUUAGUGUUCACGUAACUUUUGUUUUACAAGUUAUGAAGAAAAUUAUUUAAAUUCACAUCUAGAAAGCCAUUGAUGGUGUCCCACGCCUAAUGGUACUCAUAAUCCUGAUUCCUGACACCAAUUAUUUAUAACUAAUCUGUCUACAAUUUGCAAAAGAAUACGCAUUUAGAAGUGCCCUCAUUUUCUUUAAUCAAAACUUAAAUUUAACACCAUCAUUAUUUUUUUUAAUGAUUCCACUACACGCUAUAACAUACGUCUACGGCGCGGGGUACUGACUGAAUCAUGCAUGUGCAUAAAAUUGCCUAUAUUUAACGCCUUAAUAUUCAAUACUCAAUAUGGUCGCUCAAAAUAACGUAAUUAAAUAUGAUAAUAUGAUAAUAUUUUGAUGUUAAAAAUAAUUUGUUACUACCUGAAAAUGUUGUCCCAUUUUGUCAAGUAAAAAAUGUACAGUGUGAUAUAAUAAUUCAACAUAAAUAUUAUAUUUAAAAUUGUCCUAUUUGCUCUAAAGACAAAAAUAAGUUUAUUUGUCAUAAUAUCUUGGUACACUGAAAUAUUCUAAAAUAGAAUCUUAUGUUACGACGAAUGAUUAUAAAAUAAUUUUGUAUAAAAGGGGUCACAGGUCCUAUAGUGCUUUGCUCUCCCAGCAAAAAAGAGUAUAAAAGAGCUUAUAGUUAUACGCUGAAAUUUAACUUUUCUAUAUAAUAAAUAGAAAAAUUAAAUUUAAACAUCAUAUUAUAUCGCAAAUAUAUAAAAUAAAUGUUAAAUAUACUCUUAUACUAUAGAUAAUAUGUCUAUUUAAUAAAUUCAUUCACAAGUAAAUGAGUAAGUCAAUUUUCUAGGAAAGAAAUAUUUCACCUAUAGUCAUCUGAAUAUUCUUAAGUGAUGCCCCUCUAAUGAAUGAUUAUAGUUUAUAAUAACACGUUUAAUCGGUUUUUAUAGACAUACAUAUUAUAUUCCGAUUAUAGUCAGUUAAAGCUAAUUCGUGAAAAUGCUGUCGAGCUGAUGGUCUUAUGUAUUUGCAUACGAUUAUAUCAAUAUAAUAUAUACGGCGCCAACUUCUUGAAUGCUCGUCCAGAUUUUGUUACGCAUUGAUGGCAAAACCUUGAAACGGUUUCCGUUUAUUUUGGAAACCAUUUUAAAAAUAUGUCAUCCUGUUCGGUGAAACGUUGCCAUGUGUUUUUUUUCCGUUAACGUUUUCGGAUAUUCUACGUGAGUACGUGACGCCGCUGCAGCGAACGUUCAUAUAAAAAUCUAUGUAACUCAAAAACUUAACUAUUAUCGUUUAAAUUAAAAAAUAUGUAAAAAUAAAAUGAGAAUAUGUCAUUUUAAAA